Long non-coding RNA from Mytilus californianus (California mussel), 1182 nucleotides. RefSeq lists it as uncharacterized. The record is from RefSeq and is a predicted model, not a curated record. NCBI's taxonomy places the organism in Eukaryota, Metazoa, Mollusca, Bivalvia, Mytilida, Mytilidae. The transcript is spliced from 2 exons.
GACUUUUGUCGCAGAAAGCUCGACAUAGGGAUAGUGAUCCGGCGGCGGCGUUAGCUAACUUAUUAAAAGCUUUAUAUUUUAGAAGGUGGAAGACCUGGAUGCUUCAUACUUUGUAUAUGGAUGCCUCAUGUAACGAAGUUUCCGUCAGUCACAUGUCCAAUGUCCUUGACCUCAUUUUCAUGGUUCAGUGACUACUUGAAAAAAAAGUUAAGAUUUUUUGUAAUGUUAAAUUCUCUCUUAUUAUAAGUAAUAUGAUAACAAUAUUUGGUAUGUGCCUACCUUGCAAGGUCCUCAUGCCUGUCAGACAGUUUUCACUUGACAUCGACCUCAUUUCAUGGAUCAGUGAACAAGGUUAAGUUUUGGUGGUCAAGUCCAUAUCUCAGAUACUAUAAGCAAUAGGUCUAGUAUAUUCGGUGUAUGGAAGGACUGUAAGGUGUACAUGUCCAACUGGCAGGUGUCAUCUGACCUUGACCUCAUUUUCAUGGUUCAGUGGUUAUAGUUAAGUUUUUGUGUUUUGGUCCGUUUUUCUUAUACUUUAUGCAAUAGGUCUACUAUAUUUGGUGUAUGGAAUGAUUGUAAGGUGUACAUGUCCAACUGGCAGGUGUCAUCUGACUUUGACCUCAUUUUCAUGGUUCAGUAGUCAAAGUUAAGUUUUUGAGUUUUGGUCUUUUUUCUUAUACUAUAUGCAAUAAGUCAACUAUAUUUGGUGUAUGGAAAUAUUCUAUGAUGUAUAUGUCAGUCUCACAGGUUUUAUUUGACCUUGACCUCAUUUUCACGGUUCAUUGCUCAGUGUUAAGUUUAUGUGUUUCAGUCUGUUUUUCUUAAACUAUAAGCAAUAGGUCAGCUAUAUUUGUUGUAUGGAAGGAUUGUAAGCUGUUCAUGUCUGCCUGGCAUGGUUCAUCUGACCUUGACCUCAUUUUCACGAUUCAUUGGUCAAUGUUUAGUUUUCUUGGUUAAGUCUGUUUCUUAGAAACUAUAAGCAAUAUGUCAACUAUAUUUAGUGUAUUGAAUGAUUGUAAGGUGUACAUGUAUUUCUCUUUUGGUUAAUAUGACCUUGACUUCAUUUUCUUGGAUUAUGUUAAGUUUAUGUAAUAGUUGUAGUAAAGCUUUCAUUUAGGACUAUCAGCAUAAUAUCAAUGGUUAGUAAAGAAGGCGAGACAUUUCAGCGUGUGCACUCUUGUU